This is a non-coding RNA of Thelephora terrestris, 72 nucleotides long. Lineage: Eukaryota; Fungi; Basidiomycota; Agaricomycetes; Thelephorales; Thelephoraceae. The record is from the annotation of a GenBank genome assembly.
GGCCGUGUGGCGUAAUGGUAGCGCGUCUGACUACGAAUCAGGAGGUUGUAGUUUCGAGUACUACCUCGGUCA